Molecule: ribosomal RNA, 580 nt
Filed under: Tetradesmus obliquus
Lineage: Eukaryota; Viridiplantae; Chlorophyta; Chlorophyceae; Sphaeropleales; Scenedesmaceae
Description: eukaryotic LSU rRNA
Rfam family: Eukaryotic large subunit ribosomal RNA
Source: RNAcentral
AGCGGAGGAAAAGAAACUAACAAGGAUGCGCUUAGUAACGGCGAGCGAACCGCGCAAAGCCCAACUUGAAAAUCUCCCUCGGAGAAUUGUAGUCUAUAGAAGUACCCUCUGCGACGGGCUGAGCUCAAGUCUCCUGGAAAGGGGCGUCAGAGAGGGUGAGAACCCCGUAAGCUCAUGCUUUGUUGCCUCACGAGGUGCUUUCAAAGAGUCGGGUUGCUUGGGAAUGCAGCCCAAAUUUGGUGGUAAAUCCCAUUUAAGGCUAAAUAUUGGCGAGAGACCGAUAGCGAACAAGUACCGUGAGGGAAAGAUGAAAAGAACUUUGAAAAGAGAGUUAAAAAGUGCUUGAAAUUGUUGAGGGGGAAGCGUUUGAAUGCUAGGGUGGGCCUAGGCUUAUGGGUCCUUAACGGUGCUCUGUAUGUGCUAGGUGCUGGCCAGCAUGGGUUGGGCUAGCGGGAUAAAAACUGGGGUUGUUACCCGGUCUUUGCCGCUGGCUUGACCAAGGCGUGAAGACUGCCCUUGUCCUUCGGGAACUGCAGUCUCAAGAUGCUGGCAAGUAAGGCGUUUCUUACCCGGUACCCCG